This 7411-nucleotide long non-coding RNA is filed under the name Arabidopsis thaliana (thale cress). RNAcentral describes it as "long non-coding RNA (ATHA_LNC000244)". Lineage: Eukaryota; Viridiplantae; Streptophyta; Magnoliopsida; Brassicales; Brassicaceae. The record is from RNAcentral.
ACCCUAAAGGCACACUUUCAAUCAGAUCACACUCAGAUAGAUUUCUUGAAGUGAAGGAAAUAAAGAACAAAUGUUGAUCACUACAAGCCUACAAGGUAAGUUUCAUAUGGUGAGGUUUUCUUCUACUACAAGGAACGAUCCUAUGAUCUUGCCACCGAGAUCUGGGAAUGUCUCGUAUCCAGGAAGAGAACUCACUUUGCCUGUUCUAUCAACUUGAACUGGAUACUUAAGAAGAUGACCUGGCAUCUCUGUGACUUCUUCCGCUGCAUAUUGUCUCCAAUUCAGCUCACUCAAUUGCCUAACUCGUCUCACGCAUUCCAUGUUCUCUGGUUCCUCGAAUUCUUGCUCUAGAAACCCUAGAUGUUCUGCCCAUAACGACAUUCUAUAUCCAAAGAUCUGCAAGAAAUUGAGACAAACCAGGGUUCAGACAUGUUAAAGAGAACAUACAUUGGUGGGUUUCUAGAUUUUCGUCUUAGAAUGCUAUCCUAGAUUGAGAAGUAGAAGUCUCUGAAAGUCUUAUUUACCUGACCACGAGGACGAGAACCUUUCUUAGCCCAUGAAUGGUGUGGCUGAUACCCUCCCAUAGCGAUUUCAGUGUCUCUAGUUCCUUCCAAGGAUCUCUGGUUGAUAUUCGCGGAACCAAUUAAGACAAACUCAUCAUCCACUACCAUACCUUUGGAAUGAACAUAUAUCAUGAAUCUCCGACUCUUCAAAGCUUGUACCUAGAUUGGUUUGUCGUUUUAAUCAGUAAGCGAACCCAUUAAGGCAAAAUCGAAGAUUUCAAAAGAAGACAUUUAAUAUAUGUAUACCUGUGCAGCAUUUAGCUGAGGUGGCUUCCGAGGACUAUUAUAUACGCUAACAGUUCCAUCAGGAACCUCUCUGGUUCCAACCUCUCUGGUUCCAAGACAGAAAAAGUUCAAAAAGUCUUGUGGCUCAAGCUGGCCAUCAAGACCAACUUCCACAAGUGCCUUGUAGAUGGUUUGAUACAUCAUUUGCAUGGUUUUGUGCUGCAGAGGUUGUGAAAAAUUCCGGUAAAAAGAAGGUGAGAUCGGGUUGUUUUUAGCAAAGAAUCAAAAAAUUAUUUUACCUGCCAGUAGAGAAUUCUUUGAAUAGGAUUACUUGUUGGAGCACCUUCUGGCCACAUUGGAAUGACAAUAUAAGCAGCAAACUUUUCCCUUGCUCUAAUUUUGUUAGCAAUCUUCAGCGCGAUUUCCAUCGGGAUUAGAUUAUUCGCACCUGCAAUGCCAAAACUCCUUGUUUACAUAUUGUACGCAUCGAUUACUAAGCUUUCCUUCAAAAGCUUUAAAGUUUCUUACCCAAGUUCUUGUUUGAAUCCCAAUUGAAUGAUGAUCCAAGAAAAUAUUGGUUUUCAAUGUAAAUGAAGUGCUGAGCAGAUCGUAUGGCUUUAACAUAAGCUGCAUGUAUGCUCAUAUCUAUGAGAAUGUUCUUCCCACAUAGAAGGUUCUGUUCAUGAAUACAUAAUCAGUCGGAGAUAGCAACAUGAUGACAAACAAAAACAGCUCAGAGUUGUGGUGCUAUCUUACUCUUCCAGUAGCUUCCUUUGGGUCCUUUGGAAACCCUUUAACUGAACUCGAAUCAAUUGAACGGAAAACCUAAAGAUUAAUAUCAUUGGAGAAAAAAUGAGAUUCUUUUUGUCACCACCACAAAUAACAAUAACUAGCAAAAAAAUUAGACUUGCUAAAUUACCUGAACAUGCCAAGACUCUGGAUCAUUAUCAUUAGCAGAAGAAGCUUCGGAAAGUCCCAUUAUGUCAGGAAUUCUGUCUAACCUAAGCAAAGAAUCAUCAGAAGAAGUUCUUAGUCUCCCAAUUCCGCGAGGUUUUGAAGCCUUCAUCCAGCGUUCCUCAAAAUUAGCAAGCACAUCAUAUGCAGCUGGACCAUCAAUCUUGCUGUGCAGAUCAUGCCAUGGUUCUCUUGGUCCAUCAUCCGCAGUAGUCUAAUAAGAAAAACAGAAUUUACAUGGAUCAAGAAUAGCGGAUUCUAAUUCCAAAAUUGCAACCAAGCAGGUUUUUUCUUAAAUGAUUACCACAAAAUUUGGGUUAUGGAAGUCAUCUUUAUGGAUUGUCUUUAAUGUCCUGAAGAGAGGAUGCUUGGGAGUAUCAAAUCGUCCGUUGCACAAGUCUAGCCCUCCAACAAAUGCUACAAUCUUUCUUCGGUUCUGAGCUGCUUCAGCAUCUACAAUCAUAGUUUUCUGAUGAUGCGUGUAGAUUGUUUCAACUUCCUGAUCAUCAUAAUGACACUCAAAUUUUAGACGCUGAAGCUAUACACACAAGAGUUUACACAGUAAUGAAGUAACUAAUGAGCAUCUUACAGAUUUUUUUAUGAAGCUGUGACCUUUCCCUCCAUAUCUAGGACAAAGGAGAACUUGCACCGAUGAGUGCUUGAAAAAACGGCGAGUCUCCUCAUCGCUUGUGUUCAUAAGUCCUUUCUACAUGCAACAAAACACCAGCUUUUAAUUAAAUAGAUAGAAGGAUUGUAGCUAAGUUAGUAUAAUUAUCUAAUUGAAGCAAACUCAUGCUUUCCAAUAAGAUAAACAGAAAAAGGGUCAGAACUGAAACAAUAGAGGAAAGUAUGAAAUGCAACUGAAACAACCAAAUAUGUGACUAUGUGAGAAGUUAAGAACAACACAUUAGACCAUUCAAAACUGUGUACAAACAGAGAGGCACUCCAUAGAAUUAUUUAAGUGAUAAGCUAUAAAUCAAAAUGGAGAAACAAAACAGAGAGGCACUCCAUAAAAUUAUAUAUAUAUAUAUAUACAUGUUUGAUUUUAUGGGUAAGCAAUAAUAGAAUGUCUUAAUCAGAAAAAAACAGAGUUAUGUAGAUUCUUACUGUACUGAAUCCCAAAAGACUCCUUGAAGUUGGAUCAUCCCACACCAAAACCAACACUCUAACACCUUCUUGAGAUUUGACUUUAAGCAACUCUCCUAAUGUACCUUGGGUCGGAUCAUUGUUACGACGAACCAGCCUAACCGGAUGGAAAACUGACCAACCUGUGAUAUAAAUCAACCUCCUUGCCCGUCGUAUCGCAUCAGCCAUAUCUUCCCAGCAUUUUCCAUGUCUAUACUGAAUCCCACCAUCAAGAUGUACACUCGGAAGAGUACCGUCAUCAACAUGAGCAUCCUGAUAAAGAGUAACCCUACCGCCUUUCCUUAAAGGGAAGUAUGUACCGGGAACUCCUACACAUUCAACACCAAAACCAACACCCUUUUGGUAAAGUCUCAUUCUUUCCAUUGGAAUAUACUGAAUAGACAGACUCAACACAGCACCUUGUUUACAAGGCUUUCCUCUACUGUUAAGUAUCGGAAACAGCCCUUCGAUUCUAUUCCCGGAACACAACUGCUCGGUUGGGAUUUCAACAGCUCCAAUGAUCUGUGAUCCAAUAAUAUCACUGUCUUUCACAACAAAGUGAACUUUCGCAGCACUAUGAGCAACUGGUACAUCAAAAUGCUGCAUCCACACAGGAUUCUCACUAUUGCUAAUAACAAAAGUUCUACCAAUCACAGCACCAGAGAUAGAGACAGUAACAUAAGGAUCACUUGUGAUCUUAGAAGAAUUCUCACCAUCCACUUUAUGAUUCCUCCGACCUAACCCAAAAAACAUCCCACCAACAAGGGUGUUAUGGAAACCAUCCAUGUUAGGAAGAUGUUUAGCUUCCUUAACCCAAAUGUCUAAGUUACCAUGUAAUAAUUCAACCCUCAAAGAGCCACUACUUGUAUCAAACGGCACGAGUUGCUUGUCAAGCCACUGGCCAAACUCGUUGCUUGACCCUCCUCCCAUAGACAUAGUCUCGUUAUAAACUGGAUGAUACGCCAUGAAAAACAAAACUCAAAACGCAAAAGUAGGAAACUCUUAGUUGUCAGAUCAAAUCUCAAGCAUAACCCAGUUCAGUGAGACAAAAGAUCGAUCACUUGGUGCUUGGUGGGGAAUAAUCGAGAGAUCAAGAUUCAACAAAAGGAUAAAACUUUGAGAUAAUACAAACUCAGAGCAAAUCAAUGAAUAAAUGUGGAUCUAAAAAUAUGGGCAAAUUCAAAUUAAAGUUCAGGUUUUUGUGAAGAAGAAGGUGAGAGGGAGCGAAGGAAAACGUUGACUUGAAACGGAAGAAUCGGAAAAUUUCAAGGAUUUUUGGCUGCCGUUGUGGAAUCGUCUAACUUUAGCCAUUAAUGACACAUAUAUAAGAUGUUUCAUCUUUACUUAAACACAAAUGCCAAAUAAACUAUUUGUGUUUUAGUAACGACGACUAAGAAAGAAGACUUCCCCACUUUGGUUUUUAGCUGCUCACGAAACUCUUUCUCUCUGGUCCCUCUUUUGAUGUAACUUCAAUUUGAUUGACAUAAUUAUUAAAUUAAAUCAUAUAGUAGUGUAAUUAAUAAAUAAAGCAUGAAAUUUUCUUUAAAUGAAAUCAGUUACAAGCUUUAAAUUUUUUUUUUGCUACUAUGUCUUUUUGGAUCCCAGAUUAGACAUGUAAACUAAGAGCAUCUCUAAUGGUUAACCUUGGAUCUUAACAAUUAUUUCUAUUAAAGUUUUGUUAUUUCUAAGCUAAGAACAAAAUGAGAGUAUCUUAUAAAAAUAGUCCUCCAAUGGUUAAGGUUCAUAAGGGACAAAAAUCAAAUUUUUGUAUUUAGAUGUCUUUCAAUACAAGGAACCAUACAAACUUUUUUCAUCCUUUUCGGCCCAUGAAUCAUUCCAGUUAUGUGUAGCCCUAUGAUGACUGAAUGUCUAGCCCUAUGAUGGCUCUUGGCAUGUAAUUAAAGAGGUAUGUUGCAUUUAGAGAUAUUACCUGAGUGUAGCAAUCGAUUGCGGUUGUAAAAUCUUUGGAUCGGAAAGCUAAGUCCCCUUGCUUCUUUGAAAAGAGAGAUUCCUGCAUCUGGGUUGUCCACAUUUGAAACGAGAGCUGCAGAAGAAGGUAAAUAAAAUCAUAUUCAAAACAAGUCCCUAAUGCAAAAGACUAAGUAGUAAGCGAGAGGAAGGAAUAGAUUAACACCUCAAUGGCAAUUCCUUGUAUCCAAUCUUACUAAGUAUUUCCUGUAUGGCUGUAAGAUCCAUUCUUAAGCAGUAUUUCCUGUAUGGCUGUAAGAUUCACUCUUAAGCAUGCAUCAUCACCAAAGGAUGUCUGAGAAAGAAUGAGGCAGGAAAAACGAUGAUGAUCAUCAUUUAGAUUUUAGUAAGGACUGAACUAGAGAUUCCUUCCAAGAACUAUCCAGCAAGAAACAAAGAGCCAGGUCCUACAUUACAUCUAAAGUUUAUAUAUCUUCUAUUAGUAGAGAACUUACAUGGCUCGGUGGAAUAUGUUUUCCACUAAUGAGAUCGAGCAAAACGGUUCCAAAACUGAAAACAUAAUACACUCUCUGGUGUAACUCUACCUGACACAAGAUGAAGAAAGUGGAUUUAGCUUUGGGAACUUUGUGCCCUGAAAUAUUUUGGACAUAUAUAAACAUGAAGCAGAGAGAGUUUUACCCGUUAGCAAAUUUCUCUGUAGGAGUAAAUGCCAAGUUAGUGCUAUAUAACUCUUCCCAUCUCUGCUACUUUUCAUGAGUCCAAAGCAAGACAACCUGGGAUUCCCAUCCUAAAAACCGAUGAAAGAUAAACAAAAUUUUACGACUUCAAAUACAGAUCACUCAGAGAGAUAAAGAAACAUUGAAUCAAUAUAUUCACCAAAAUAAAUGCCAGCAUUACAGAGCUUGAUUAAGUAAGGUUCAUGCUUAAGCAGGAAAAGGAGAACGUUCAAACACAAACCAUCACCCAAAUCUAUCGUUAACUACCAGACUCACUAAAAUUAAUUCCAAUUGACAAGAUCUAAGAAAACCCAGUUUCGAAAUUUGAUGGUUUCAAUUCCAAUCAUCAAUCUCGGCUAAAAGGAACUGAAAAAAAUGAAAACAGAGAGAUACGUACCAUGGGAAAUAGAUUGGAGCAUACUCUCCGAUUUGAAAUCGUCGAGGGUCUCCACCGACGUUGAAAUGAAUAUAACGACAGAUCGGAUCCGACGCAUAUCUCCUCAUAAUUCAUCGGAUCGAGUGAUUUCGCGUUGAAGGUCGACAAAAAGAGAGAGACGAUGAAAUGGGGAAACAAACAAAAUUUGUCACGUGAGUACUUUUUUUUUUGGGUUUUGUCAUUAUAAUCCCACCAAUGGUGUAUCGACACGUCAUCGCCUCUUAACAUACCAAAUAACUCUAACCUAAAGACACACACACCUGGUUGCACACAAAAAAAAAAAGACACACACUUCUUAGUUCUUAUAAAGGAACAAAACUUGUAAAUAGGGAUAUAUGUCAUGACCAAAAAGAUAUUGUAUAAAAGAUAAUUUUUAUUCAAUUUUUUUUUUUUUUUUUUUGAUCUGUUGAUUUAGGUUGGAAUGCAGAAUUGUGGUGAAUUCAACACCAUCUCUCAAAUCUUUUAGAGAUAAUAUAGAUAGAUCAGAGAAGAUAGAAAGGAAAAAAGAUGGUGUGACGCGUUGAAUGCUCCAUGGCCACUGCAAGAAAAUGUAAUAACACUUUCAGAAAAUGGGGAUGUAAGUAAAAAAAAUUCGGAAAAAUGUCUGCAAACUUAUGAAUCUACUCAUGAUCAAAUGGAAGAAGAAAAUCUCAAGAAUCUUGACAUUAUUAUCAUUUGCUGACAAAUUGCAUAGAGAAGAGCAAGUCAACAAAUCCUUAUCUGCUUCCCUAUUCUAAUAAUUGUAUUGAGUUUUUCCUGUCUGACUUGUUGCAACUCCUUGGCUCCAACAAGUUACGAGGGAAAACAUAGCGAACUCCUUCCAGUAGUUACUACUUAAACUAAGCUAUGACUCUCUUCCUCCUCAACUUAAGCGAUGCUUUGACCUCUGCUCAGUAUUCCCCAAGGGCCAUGUUUUCGAUAGGGAGGAAUUAUUGCAGUAGACCUCUUAUACCAACCAAGGAGCAGCAGAAGAUUGGAAAUGAUUACCUGGUGAUUUAGUUUGCUCAAUCUUUUUUUUCAUGACAAGCUUUGUGAUGCAUGAUCUUAUGAAUGAUUUAGCAAAAGCUGUUUCAGGAUGACAUUUUUCAUUUUCUACAAGCCAAUGUGAUAUUGUAAUCAUAUAGUACUAAAGAUAUGACAACAUUACUAAAUUAAAUCAUAUAGUAAAAAUCCAAAACACACACUUUGAUAGAUCAAUUGAAAUUUUGUAAUAAAUAGAUUUACAGCUCAUAAAUUUGAAAAGCACAACUAGACCCUAAAGGCACACUUUCAAUCAGAUCACACUGAGAGAGAUUUCUUGAAGUGGAAGAAAUAAAGAACAAAUGUUGAUCACUACAAGCCUACAAGGUAAGUUUCAUAUGGUGAGGUUUUCUUGUAGUGCAAGGAACGAUCCUAUGAUCUUGCCACCCAGAUCUGGGAAUGUCUCGCAUCCAGGAAGAGAACUCACUUUGCCUGUUCUAUCA